Molecule: ribosomal RNA, 746 nt
Filed under: uncultured bacterium
Lineage: Bacteria
Description: bacterial SSU rRNA
Rfam family: Bacterial small subunit ribosomal RNA
Source: RNAcentral
AACCGCAUGGUUCAAAAGUGAAAGACGGUCUUGCUGUCACUUAUAGAUGGAUCCGCGCUGCAUUAGCUAGUUGGUAAGGUAACGGCUUACCAAGGCAACGAUGCAUAGCCGACCUGAGAGGGUGAUCGGCCACACUGGAACUGAGACACGGUCCAGACUCCUACGGGAGGCAGCAGUAGGGAAUCUUCCGCAAUGGGCGAAAGCCUGACGGAGCAACGCCGCGUGAGUGAUGAAGGUCUUCGGAUCGUAAAACUCUGUUAUUAGGGAAGAACAUAUGUGUAAGUAACUGUGCACAUCUUGACGGUACCUAAUCAGAAAGCCACGGCUAACUACGUGCCAGCAGCCGCGGUAAUACGUAGGUGGCAAGCGUUAUCCGGAAUUAUUGGGCGUAAAGCGCGCGUAGGCGGUUUUUUAAGUCUGAUGUGAAAGCCCACGGCUCAACCGUGGAGGGUCAUUGGAAACUGGAAAACUUGAGUGCAGAAGAGGAAAGUGGAAUUCCAUGUGUAGCGGUGAAAUGCGCAGAGAUAUGGAGGAACACCAGUGGCGAAGGCGACUUUCUGGUCUGUAACUGACGCUGAUGUGCGAAAGCGUGGGGAUCAAACAGGAUUAGAUACCCUGGUAGUCCACGCCGUAAACGAUGAGUGCUAAGUGUUAGGGGGUUUCCGCCCCUUAGUGCUGCAGCUAACGCAUUAAGCACUCCGCCUGGGGAGUACGACCGCAAGGUGAAACUCAAAGGAAUUGACGGA